RNAcentral lists this transfer-messenger RNA (387 nucleotides) under Patescibacteria group. Its description in RNAcentral is "GCA-016432625 sp016432625 Standard tmRNA". It matches the Rfam family "transfer-messenger RNA". From Rfam's summary of the family: Bacterial tmRNA, also known as 10Sa RNA or SsrA, is named for its dual tRNA and mRNA-like properties. Its role is to liberate the mRNA from a stalled ribosome. The record is from RNAcentral. RNAcentral also lists the same sequence under 1 other name.
GGGCCUGUACUGGCUUCGACGGGAACGUUUACAGCGAGGACUGCAAGCGGACGCGCCUGCCUUAGAGCGCAAAACAAAUACGUGCAAACGCAUUUGAAACUGCAAAAGCUCGUGUUGCGAACUUGUUCGCGACUCCUUCUUUUGCAACAGCAUUAGCCUAACGGCCAAUGCCGUUUCGUCACCUGACUUCUACUAAGGUAACGAGGCGUCAAAAAGUAGAACCGGGAUUGUGCGCACAUCGGUACAACUCCUCAGAAUAAGAUGUUGCUCAGUCGGGUUUUUUGAAAGCUCUCAAGCCCAGCUGCUAAGACUUUAAACUUUCUACGCUUGUAGACGUCUUCGUUCGUAGGUUCUCGGACCCGGGUUCAACUCCCGGCAGGUCCACCA